GGGGAGGGGACGCUGGGGCCUCACUGGGAGGUGGGUUGUAGGAGCUGUGAUGGAAACAAUAGUGAACGUUUAAAAUAAAAAAAAACAAACAUCACAGGACACGGUACAUUCCCACUAGCACCCUCUCAGAAGCCCCCAACACACUCAGCCCAUAGUCCCUGCCCCUUCCUGCAGCAGCUCUGGAGUUCUCUUUCCUGAGUGUCUUUUAAUCACACCGUCCUGGCUGCCUCCACGUCCUGAAUGGAUUCAAAACGUUUCCCUGGGCCAGGGAUUUGGCUCAGGGGUUCCACUGCCUGCCUCUCAAGCGUAAGGUCCUGAGUUCGAUCCCCGGUACCAAAAAAAAAAAAAAAACCCAAAAGAAGUUUCCCUGUCGUGGUCUUUGGGGAAGAUCCAGAAAGUCGCACAAAUCGCUUCUCGGCCCAUUUGGCUAAGAUCAAGCGCAGAAAGUCGCACAAUUGCGGGAUCCAACGACGAAGGUGGGGCAGGGACCCAGCGUCACGUUUUUCGUGGGCCGCCUUUCCACUGGGUGGCGCUGUGCAGCAGCGUUAGCCAAAUUUCGAUCCCGCCUGGUAAAGACCCUCAGGAAAUAGGAUGCCCGAGCUGCUGCGGAAAUGGCCGGAAGCGUGGGAUCGGUCUCAUGUCAAACGUCACCUCAUUUUCAUUGCCAAGGAGCCAGAACACGAAUAAAAGCGCUGCCUCCACCUGGAAGACCCCUGUCCCUACUUCAAAGCCCCCAUCUUAAGGCUUCUCCCCAUGCAGCUGGAUUCCCCAGGCAGAGCCCUCUUCAUCAACCUGGGUCCCUCUUUGUGUCCCCCAUGCUGACCCCGGCAGCCGGACAUGUCCAUGUCUAGCUUAAGGCCCUGACUACAGCAAGUACUCAAUAAAAGUUGACAGCGUGGGCAGGCGGACUGACAUCUAGCCCGUUCCACUGUGAAUCCCUAAGGAAACUCAGUCUCAGCUAGCCGCUUACACACACACCACGCGCACGUAUGCACACGCACGCACAAGCACACACACACACACACACACACACACGACGAGCGCGCCUGCUGGUACACAGCUGGGGCUUCAUAAAUGCUCUCUGCCCAACCAGACCACAGAAAACGAUGUCAUAGGCAGGAGGCUCCAGGGCCUCCUGGAGGCAGCUGGGGAAACUGAGGCACAG
RNAcentral lists this long non-coding RNA (1165 nucleotides) under Fukomys damarensis (Damara mole-rat). RNAcentral describes it as "lncRNA (ENSFDAG00000027571.1)". The record is from RNAcentral. Lineage: Eukaryota; Metazoa; Chordata; Mammalia; Rodentia; Bathyergidae.